AUGUCUCAUCAGGGAACACCCCCCCCCAGUCCAUGUCCACCGUAAGCAGAUGGCUCCCCCCUCUCUAUAGCGAGGGUCUUUUUUUUUUUUUUUUUUACUGGGGUGAAAAUGCCAGGUCCACCCCCUCCUCGGGGUUCCUGGACACCCCGAGGGCCUGAGCCGGGUGAGGGAGCCCCCAUAGGGGCGGGGAGGCCGGCCGAGGUAGGUGGAGGAACUAUUUCUUGACGUAAUCCGUCUCUGUCGGCCCCGACGCUCCCGCAGUCUCUCAGCGAGCCGAGAUCAGCGAUUGUCAGUUCGGAACGUGGCUUUUAAAAAUGCGUUUUUAAAUAGUGUCUUGAAGAAGUGGAGGAGAGAUCUGCACAACUUAAGUGAGGCAUCCCCAUCCCAUCUGCCUGCUCAUCCUCUUUGGUCCUCCCAACUCCAUCUCCGCAACACCCUUACCCCCCC
Molecule: long non-coding RNA, 447 nt
Organism: Perognathus longimembris pacificus (Pacific pocket mouse)
Lineage: Eukaryota; Metazoa; Chordata; Mammalia; Rodentia; Heteromyidae
Exons: 2
Source: RefSeq, a predicted model, not a curated record